This 511-nucleotide ribosomal RNA is filed under the name uncultured bacterium. RNAcentral's name for it is "partial 16S ribosomal RNA". It matches the Rfam family "Bacterial small subunit ribosomal RNA", at positions 28 to 523 of the family's 1533-position model. The record is from RNAcentral.
GACGAACGCUGGCGGCGUGCCUAAUACAUGCAAGUAGAACGCUGAAGGAGGAGCUUACUUCUCUGGAUGAGUUGCGAACGGGUGAGUAACGCGUAGGUAACCUGCCUGGUAGCGGGGGAUAACUAUUGGAAACGAUAGCUAAUACCGCAUAAGCGUAGAUGUUGCAUGACAUUUACUUAAAAGGUGCAAUUGCACCACUACCAGAUGGACCUGCGUUGUAUUAGCUAGUUGGUGGGGUAACGGCUUACCAAGGCGACGAUACAUAGCCGACCUGAGAGGGGGAUCGGCCACACUGGGACUGAGACACGGCCCAGACUCCUACGGGAGGCAGCAGUAGGGAAUCUUCGGCAAUGGACGGAAGUCUGACCGAGCAACGCCGCGUGAGUGAAGAGGGUUUUCGGAUCGUAAAGCUCUGUUGUAAGAGAAGAACGAGUGAGAGAGUGGAAAGUUCACACUGUGACGGUAUCUUACCAGAAAGGGACGGCUAACUACGUGCCAGCAGCCGCGGUAA